Molecule: long non-coding RNA, 660 nt
Organism: Elgaria multicarinata webbii
Lineage: Eukaryota; Metazoa; Chordata; Lepidosauria; Squamata; Anguidae
Exons: 3
Source: RefSeq, a predicted model, not a curated record
GAGCAAAAACAGGACAGCAUCAAGCAUCAGCCAUGAGGAUCCUUUUUCUUCUCCUUGCCACCCUCCUAAUCUUCAUCCAAAUCAUUCCAGGAAAUGCUUAUGAAGCACCUGAUACCCAGGAGUGCAGGUCAAUCAGAGGUUUCUGCAAGUACGGGAGCUGCCCUGGAAGAACUCGACAUACUGGAGGGACGUGUCAAUGGGAAACAUUGCUCUGCUGUAAAUCCAUCUAUGCUCCCUGAGUCCAUCACAACACCUCUGGGAUUCUGAAGGAAUGCCUAUCUGCUUCUGAAACCAAUGUCCACCUUCAGAGUCACAAACGAAGAGCUGUUUAUUUGAGCUGCAAAAGAAUUUAAGCACUGGAGAAAAUCUAGAAUGAACGCUCCUCUUUCCCACAUAUAGUUACAUGCAUAUAUAUAUAUGUUUUUGCCUGGUGAUAUAACUUCUUCUUAUAACGCGUUAGAGCUCUACAGCUUUCUGCAUGCAGUUGUGGACGUGAAAGAAGUUCACAACAAUUUGGGAAUGGUUAACCAAGAUACGGGAUUAGGCUGCAAUGUCAGAAGGUCAUGUAUUAUUUGCACUGAGUCAUCCGUCCUUUCGUUUGUGAUCAUUUUUUAAUUCUGCAUAGCCUGAAUAAAAAAAUAAAAUAAAUUAUAUCACCAA